RNAcentral lists this ribosomal RNA (808 nucleotides) under Acinetobacter sp. Its description in RNAcentral is "bacterial SSU rRNA". It matches the Rfam family "Bacterial small subunit ribosomal RNA", at positions 94 to 897 of the family's 1533-position model. The record is from RNAcentral. Lineage: Bacteria; Pseudomonadati; Pseudomonadota; Gammaproteobacteria; Moraxellales; Moraxellaceae.
AGCGGCGGACGGGUGAGUAAUGCUUAGGAAUCUGCCUAUUAGUGGGGGACAACAUUCCGAAAGGAAUGCUAAUACCGCAUACGCCCUACGGGGGAAAGCAGGGGAUCUUCGGACCUUGCGCUAAUAGAUGAGCCUAAGUCAGAUUAGCUAGUUGGUGGGGUAAAGGCCUACCAAGGCGACGAUCUGUAGCGGGUCUGAGAGGAUGAUCCGCCACACUGGGACUGAGACACGGCCCAGACUCCUACGGGAGGCAGCAGUGGGGAAUAUUGGACAAUGGGCGCAAGCCUGAUCCAGCCAUGCCGCGUGUGUGAAGAAGGCCUUUUGGUUGUAAAGCACUUUAAGCGAGGAGGAGGCUACUUGGAUUAAUACUCUAGGAUAGUGGACGUUACUCGCAGAAUAAGCACCGGCUAACUCUGUGCCAGCAGCCGCGGUAAUACAGAGGGUGCGAGCGUUAAUCGGAUUUACUGGGCGUAAAGCGUGCGUAGGCGGCUUUUUAAGUCGGAUGUGAAAUCCCUGAGCUUAACUUAGGAAUUGCAUUCGAUACUGGGAAGCUAGAGUAUGGGAGAGGAUGGUAGAAUUCCAGGUGUAGCGGUGAAAUGCGUAGAGAUCUGGAGGAAUACCGAUGGCGAAGGCAGCCAUCUGGCCUAAUACUGACGCUGAGGUACGAAAGCAUGGGGAGCAAACAGGAUUAGAUACCCUGGUAGUCCAUGCCGUAAACGAUGUCUACUAGCCGUUGGGGCCUUUGAGGCUUUAGUGGCGCAGCUAACGCGAUAAGUAGACCGCCUGGGGAGUACGGUCGCAAGACUAA